Molecule: long non-coding RNA, 849 nt
Organism: Panicum virgatum (switchgrass)
Lineage: Eukaryota; Viridiplantae; Streptophyta; Magnoliopsida; Poales; Poaceae
Exons: 2
Source: RefSeq, a predicted model, not a curated record
UCCACCUGUUCCACACGGACUCUUCCUCCAUCUACCGUUGCUGCUGUUGGAUCAAGCAAUGGGGACACAGGGAGAUUGGUGCUGGCGGCUCUUGCUGACGCAAGGCAAGGGAGAGAGAACAAGAAGGAGGAUUAGCGCUGCUGCUAUUGAAUCCGUGGGGAAAAAGGCUGAUUUCUUCGACGAAUUUCUGGAAUUAAUUGACAAGGAAUUUCAAGUCGGCCCAAUGAUGAAAGUUGUACCUUUCGUCGAUAUCUUUCCAAUGGCGCUAGUUUCGUUCAAUUUGGAUUAGCGGUUUAGGAGAUAUCAAUGAAACUGUGCUGCUGUUCCAUUUAGAAAAUCUGUGCGCAGAAACUGUUUUUAUAGUUUUGACUUAUUUAGAGGCCGAAUUUCCCCUACGCGCUGUAACUAAAGUUGUAGGAAAUUUUCUGUAGAUGUUCAAAAUGUAUUUAUUUACUACAUUUGGUUAAGAGAAUCAAAAGUUAUGGGCCAAACAGCGAGUAACUCAGAGAAUUAAUCGAAUUUUCAGAAAUUGCGAGAGUUAAUGGUUUAGGCAUUUAGUUCGGAAUUUCUUCGAGUAUAUAGGCUUUGGGUCGAUAUGAACUAGUUCUUAAGGGUGGUUUAUUCCACAAGUUUGAUAAAUUAUAGUCGCAAGCGUGUGGCGUCGGAUUCCCGAUAAGGUUAAGGCAAGUGCAACGACGAACCUCUUGAUGUGUGAUUAUGUUUGUGGCUUUCUUGCUGCCCUUGGGCGAAGUUUACUCAAUGUCUUUAUUUUAUAUGUCAAUUCCUUUAAGAAUCAUGUCAUAAUUUUCUAGUUCUGUCAAAUGUUCAAGAUUCGUGUGUUGCCUUUCA